This 18-nucleotide unclassified non-coding RNA is filed under the name Mus musculus (house mouse). Its description in RNAcentral is "oocyte_clustered_small_RNA6889". The record is from RNAcentral. Lineage: Eukaryota; Metazoa; Chordata; Mammalia; Rodentia; Muridae.
UGCAAGCUGCGAGAUGCC